RNAcentral lists this ribosomal RNA (301 nucleotides) under uncultured bacterium. RNAcentral describes it as "partial 16S ribosomal RNA". It matches the Rfam family "Bacterial small subunit ribosomal RNA", at positions 509 to 809 of the family's 1533-position model. The record is from RNAcentral.
CAGUAGCCGCGGUAAUACGUAGGUGGCAAACGUUGUCCGGAAUUAUUGGGCGUAAAGGGCUCGCAGGCGGUUUCUUAAGUCUGAUGUGAAAGCCCCCGGCUCAACCGGGGAGGGUCAUUGGAAACUGGGAAACUUGAGUGCAGAAGAGGAGAGUGGAAUUCCACGUGUAGCGGUGAAAUGCGUAGAGAUGUGGAGGAACACCAGUGGCGAAGGCGACUCUCUGGUCUGUAACUGACGCUGAGGAGUGAAAGCGUGGGGAGCGAACAGGAUUAGAUACCCCAGUAGUCCCUGUCUCUUAUAA